AGAGCGAACGCUGGCGGCAGGCUUAACACAUGCAAGUCGAGCGGAUGUAGCAAUACAUCAGCGGCAGACGGGAUAGUAACACGUGGGAACGCGCCCUUUGGUUCGGAAUAACUCAGGGAAACUUGAGCUAAUACCGGAUAAGCCCUUACGGGGAAAGAUUUAUCGCCAUUGGAACGGCCCGCGUCCGAUUAGCUAGUUGGUGAGGUAAUGGCUCACCAAGGCGACGAUCGGUAGCUGGUCUGAGAGGAUGACCAGCAUCACUGGGACUGAGACACGGCCCAGACUCCUACGGGAGGCAGCAGUGGGGAAUAUUGGACAAUGGGCGCAAGCCUGAUCCAGCCAUGCCGCGUGGAUGAUGAAGGCCCUAGGGUUGUAAAGUCCUUUUAACGGGGAAGAUAAUGACGGUACCCGUAGAAUAAGCCCGGACUAACUUCGCGCCAGCAGCCGC
Molecule: ribosomal RNA, 448 nt
Filed under: uncultured bacterium
Lineage: Bacteria
Description: SSU rRNA
Rfam family: Bacterial small subunit ribosomal RNA
Source: RNAcentral